UUAUUUUUCUGCUUCCACAUGUGAAUUUUUUAAUUUGCUUUCAACUUCGAGAAAUAUGACUUCGGUCCACUGAAAAAUAAUAACUGCCCCCGAAACUUUCUCUACAAUCCCGCGAAUUCAAGAAAUUAUCUUCUUUAGCCUUAUCUCUUAUCUUUAACUCGACCAAGUUCAUUGAAUUCAAGAAAUUUCCAAUAGAAACCUAACAAACUUCACACUAUUUUAUCUCAAAUGUCCGUUUUGAAUUGGAUUACAAGUUAUGAUAGUAGAAAAACGAGAAGAAAUAGAGAUUGGUUAACGAAAUUUUAGGGGUGCAAUCUCGCAAAGGGAACUAUAAAAAAUCUUUGAAACUGAUAUUGAAACACAGAAGACUAAAGGUUUUAUCAAGUGUCUACAAUGAUAUAAAGGUAAUUGCUUGCUUCAAUUCUAAAAUUCUGCAAUUGCUUGCUUCAAUUCUAAACUGGUAAUUGCUUCAUUCAAUUAUAUGAUGAUUAGAUUUAAUUUUUAAUCUAUAUAACAAUCUUUAUUGUAUGGAUAUGAUUCACAUCAGCAACAAAGGUUGAUAUUUGGGGAAAGAUAAAUCCAUAUAUACUAUUGUGCUUCUUUUUCCUUGCACAAUAGAUGUUUGUUAAAAUGCUAGGGGGUUGGAACUUGCUGCUGCAAGACAAAGACUAAACCGUGACUAAGGAAGGGUGUGUGACAGUCCAUGGUGAGGCUGAAAAUGCAGCUUCAAUUAUUGUCUUGUUGGGGCCGUCUUUAUUUAUUUUUAUUUUUUAUGCUUGCUUGUAAAAAAAAAAAAAAAAAAAAAAGGUUUCAUAAACAGUUUUGAAGAUGAAUCAAAUAUUCUUACCUUGAUUAUAGGAAAAAAAAAAAGAUAUUUGUUAAAAUAAUUUUUUAAGUCAAAGAUCUCUUCAGAUAACAUGCCAUUAAUUUUGAGAAACAACUAAUUAGUUUAGGAGUGAUAUGCUACGUACACAUAGCCAUAACAUUUUAAUUCAAGUAGCUUUAUGUUGUCUCAUAUGUUAUAAUUUGAUUAUCUCUUUAUUAAUUAAAAUAACAACUAGUAUGUAGGCAUCUUGAUAGUGUCUCGUAUGCCGAUUUCAAUUGCAUUUCUCAUUGCAUACUUAGAAUUUUGUAAACUGACUAUCCUUCUUCUAUAUGCCUUGUAGCUACAAAUUGAUAAGUCUUCAAAAGUGUAUAUUUAUCCCCCCGAUUAACACCUUGUUUGCAUAUCACUUAAUUUACAUUAUUGUGUAUCUAUUGAUUAGUGUUUUUUUGUCAUUUCUGUAGGUUUUAUGAGCCAAAAGUUGAAUAUUGUGUUAAAGCCCGACAAAAGCCAAGAAAAACCAUUAAAAGAGUGUUAUUUGCACAAAUGAGAAAAAUCACUAUUUGCACCCACACAGUUCCUGAGGGCACCCAUUGGACUGGUCCUGUGGACUUGACUUUAUGUCCAAGAUAGGUGGUCCAAAUCCCAGCUCAAUCCAAGUUGUAAUGAAGCCCACAUGUUAAAAGAUCUAUUGAAACCCUCUACUUGAAGUCUAAUCUUAAAAAAAGCUCUAUAUGAUGAUCAAGAACUCCGAUUUGGGCUCGUAAGUUGUCUAUCUUAAGGUAUUGAUCCAAGAUACAAUUUAAACCUAAUAUAAUUAGGGUUUUACGUGUUUUAAAUUCUUCUAGAAGUCCUACAACAACCACCACAAAGUUUGACCUAAUUUGGAGAGCAAGUAUACUUUGUGUGCAAGCAAAGUAAUUUCUUGAUUCAUUAAAACUCAUGCUUUGUAUUCUCUAUAUAAAGAGAAGUAGUAGCUAGGGUUUAGUUAAUUCAUUCUCUUGUAUUGAGCUCAAUUUUUUUUAUUCUCAAUUCAUAAUAAUAAGCAAUUCUCUUUUCUAUUA
Molecule: long non-coding RNA, 1887 nt
Filed under: Aquilegia coerulea
Lineage: Eukaryota; Viridiplantae; Streptophyta; Magnoliopsida; Ranunculales; Ranunculaceae
Description: long non-coding RNA (ACOE_LNC001992)
Source: RNAcentral